UACUUUUUAAUGAUGUUAAGAAAUCAUCACUAUCAGACACAAAAUAUAAAUCCUCUUUUGCAACUGAGAGCUCAUUGUUCAGUGUGAGUUUUGAUACAUACAAGAAGGAAUUUA
RNAcentral lists this small nucleolar RNA (114 nucleotides) under Mus pahari (shrew mouse). RNAcentral's name for it is "predicted gene, 26251 (MGP_PahariEiJ_G0034850.1)". It matches the Rfam family "Small nucleolar RNA SNORA40", at positions 15 to 128 of the family's 128-position model. From Rfam's summary of the family: The snoRNA ACA 40 belongs to the H/ACA family of snoRNAs and guides the pseudouridylation of 28S rRNA subunit at position U4565. NB This family has a high threshold value to exclude a large number of closely related sequences that do not appear to have conserved H and ACA boxes, and may be pseudogenes. Lineage: Eukaryota; Metazoa; Chordata; Mammalia; Rodentia; Muridae. The record is from RNAcentral.